This 301-nucleotide ribosomal RNA is filed under the name uncultured bacterium. RNAcentral describes it as "partial 16S ribosomal RNA". It matches the Rfam family "Bacterial small subunit ribosomal RNA", at positions 509 to 807 of the family's 1533-position model. The record is from RNAcentral.
CAGCCGCCGCGGUAAAACGUAGGGUGCGAGCGUUAAUCGGAAUUACUGGGCGUAAAGCGUGCGCAGGCGGUUCGUUAAGACAGAUGUGAAAUCCCCGGGCUUAACCUGGGAACUGCAUUUGUGACUGACGGGCUAGAGUAUGGCAGAGGGGGGUAGAAUUCCACGUGUAGCAGUGAAAUGCGUAGAGAUGUGGAGGAAUACCGAUGGCGAAGGCAGCCCCCUGGGCCAAUACUGACGCUCAUGCACGAAAGCGUGGGGAGCAAACAGGAUUAGAUACCCCCGUAGUCCCUGUCUCUUAUAC